Molecule: ribosomal RNA, 649 nt
Filed under: Pediococcus pentosaceus
Lineage: Bacteria; Bacillati; Bacillota; Bacilli; Lactobacillales; Lactobacillaceae
Description: bacterial SSU rRNA
Rfam family: Bacterial small subunit ribosomal RNA
Source: RNAcentral
UUGAUUAUGACGUACUUGUACUGAUUGAGAUUUUAACACGAAGUGAGUGGCGAACGGGUGAGUAACACGUGGGUAACCUGCCCAGAAGUAGGGGAUAACACCUGGAAACAGAUGCUAAUACCGUAUAACAGAGAAAACCGCAUGGUUUUCUUUUAAAAGAUGGCUCUGCUAUCACUUCUGGAUGGACCCGCGGCGUAUUAGCUAGUUGGUGAGGUAAAGGCUCACCAAGGCAGUGAUACGUAGCCGACCUGAGAGGGUAAUCGGCCACAUUGGGACUGAGACACGGCCCAGACUCCUACGGGAGGCAGCAGUAGGGAAUCUUCCACAAUGGACGCAAGUCUGAUGGAGCAACGCCGCGUGAGUGAAGAAGGGUUUCGGCUCGUAAAGCUCUGUUGUUAAAGAAGAACGUGGGUAAGAGUAACUGUUUACCCAGUGACGGUAUUUAACCAGAAAGCCACGGCUAACUACGUGCCAGCAGCCGCGGUAAUACGUAGGUGGCAAGCGUUAUCCGGAUUUAUUGGGCGUAAAGCGAGCGCAGGCGGUCUUUUAAGUCUAAUGUGAAAGCCUUCGGCUCAACCGAAGAAGUGCAUUGGAAACUGGGAGACUUGAGUGCAGAAGAGGACAGUGGAACUCCAUGGGUAAGCCGGUG